This 1752-nucleotide long non-coding RNA is filed under the name Triticum aestivum (bread wheat). RNAcentral's name for it is "long non-coding RNA (TAES_LNC027638)". The record is from RNAcentral. Lineage: Eukaryota; Viridiplantae; Streptophyta; Magnoliopsida; Poales; Poaceae.
CCGGAUUUCGUUAAACAAGCCAUCUAUGUCCCAAAGUUGAGGACCGUUUGGAGAAGAGGCCACCCAGGUAAGCUUAUCCAAGCUCAAACAUUAAUUUAAUCACUAUUUAGUUGUCGUAUUUGCGUUCCUAGAUGGAUCUUUUGAGAUUCCACAACUUUGAUAUUCUUACUUGGGAUCAUUUGAUAUGUGCCAUUGAAAAUAACAGAACAGAUCAUUCUUAGAUGAAUUCUUAGCUGAUUUCAUUGGGCUUCUCCCUUUACGCCAAUAUGAAAUAUAUUAGCUGCAGUAUAUAGUCUAGGUUCAUUUUAAUGCGACUAAAUGAGAUAAAAAUACUACUUGCUUAUACCACUCGAGUAUCCACCGUUAGGACGUUAUGUUCCCUGCGACCACAACAUAACCUUUUUGACUUAUUAUCCCUAAAAAAAGCUGUCUCUUUUUCACAAGCUGAAAAGACAAUCUGAUCUGCUACAUUUGGUCUGAAAUUUUCUUCUUGUGUGUCCACAUGAUAAAGAGGAUGCCUUUGAUCAAUUGUAAAUCACUUAUUUUUCUAGGAUAUAUAGAUAUCUUGAAUUACCCACAAUAUACUUUUAUGUCAUCUAAUAUAUGUCUCCCAGACAAUUUAAACAGAUGCAGGAUAUGAUUAGGCGCACAUAUACAAGUAUCUUUAUGACGACACUUGCACCAGUUUUCAUCGUUGUUGUUCUUGCCUGUUGCCUCCCCCCCUAUCGCUUCGCUAGGUGAGAGACCCCUCUCCUUUCCUUCCAAUUUGUUGGGUUUUGCUUUGUGCCAUCAUUUGAGUGGUCAACAGGCGCAGAAAGAAAGGAAGGACAGAGUACUUCUCUCCUUAGUUAGUUUUAUAUUUAUUUGUCUGAAUUUUAGUUUAAAUAACAUGACACCCAAUGGCAUACAUGAUAAUUUCAACUGUUUUGGGGGGCAAAUGACAAUUAUAGUAAAUUAAAAUGACCCCAUUAGUCAUAUCUAUUAUCUCUUUAUGGGUUUAUCUUUCUACGUACUGCCACAAAAAUAUUAAUUGUUUUGCAUAUAUUGGUUGAGUUUAAUUCAGCUUUAGGAAUCAGGACAUGUGAUAGAUGGUGUGCGCAUUUGAUUUCAGAAUUUUGUUAGCGCAACAUGCAUGAUAUUCAUGCAUUACCUACAUGUAUGUUAGUCCCAAAAUGACUUUUCAAACUAUAGAUGGUACCACUGAAAUAUUUUGAACCACAUUCAAAUUUCUCAUUUGCUUCUUUGUUUACAUGACCCACAAUGCACUUGGUUUGUUUUUAUUCAACAGCACUAGAAUCAUGUAUAAAACCAAGAGUUAACUACACUAUAAUGCUAUUUUGGUUUAUAUAGGAGAGCAGCAGCUUGCAUUGCGAGAGGCUUAGGCGAAGGAAUAUACUAUGGUCUAUGGAUCAGUCUGGGAACAAGAAUAACUAUUGAAAUUGUUAGUGUGGACAUUGUCCAUAGCGAGGUAGCGAGCUAGCUAAUAUUAGCCGAAUAGUGGACUGGGUGUUGAAUAGUUGUUAUAAGAAGAAUUAAAGGAGAUGGAUUGUGAAAUGUCCGUGCUAAGAGAUGGAGGGCAAAAUACCGACGUCUCUUAGGUUAUUAUACUCCUUAAUUGAGUUGUGAACACAUCAACUAUUUCAACAUCAUCUUUACUUGAUUUGUAGUAGCAUAUCCCUGCUAUAAUAUUGUGAUAUAGUCUGUUCUGACUAUCACGCUUCUUAACUUCCAAUAUAUUAAUCCAACAAUUAC